UACGUAGGGGGCAAGCGUUGUCCGGAAUCAUUGGGCGUAAAGCGCGCGUAGGCGGCCCGGUAAGUCCGCUGUGAAAGUCAAAGGCUCAACCUUUGAAUGUCAGCGGAUACUGCCGGGCUAGAGUCCGGAAGAGGCGAGUGGAACUCCUGGUGUAGCGAUGGAAUGCGCAGAUAUCAGGAAGAACACCAACGGCGAAGGCAGCUCGCUGGGACGGAACUGACGCUAAGGCGCGAAAGCGUGGGGAGCGAACAGG
Molecule: ribosomal RNA, 253 nt
Filed under: uncultured bacterium
Lineage: Bacteria
Description: partial 16S ribosomal RNA
Rfam family: Bacterial small subunit ribosomal RNA
Source: RNAcentral